GGUGGCUCAGUGGUAGAGCGCUUGCCUCGCAUGCAUGAAGCCCUGGGUUCGAUUCCUCAGCACCU
RNAcentral lists this transfer RNA (65 nucleotides) under Dipodomys ordii (Ord's kangaroo rat). It matches the Rfam family "tRNA". From Rfam's summary of the family: Transfer RNA (tRNA) molecules are approximately 80 nucleotides in length. Their secondary structure includes four short double-helical elements and three loops (D, anti-codon, and T loops). Lineage: Eukaryota; Metazoa; Chordata; Mammalia; Rodentia; Heteromyidae. The record is from Rfam by way of RNAcentral.